GACGAACCGAGCGAACGUUGUUCGGAAUCACUGGGCUUAAAGGGCGCGUAGGCGGCCACCGCAAGUCAAUUGUGAAAUCUCGGGGCUUAACUCCGAAACUGCAUUCGAUACUGCCGUGCUUGAGGACUGGAGAGGAGACUGGAAUUUACGGUGUAGCGGUGAAAUGCGUAGAUAUCGUAAGGAAGACCAGUGGCGAAGGCGGGUCUCUGGACAGUUCCUGACGCUGAGGCACGAAGGCCAGGGGAGCAAACGGG
Molecule: ribosomal RNA, 254 nt
Filed under: uncultured bacterium
Lineage: Bacteria
Description: partial 16S ribosomal RNA
Rfam family: Bacterial small subunit ribosomal RNA
Source: RNAcentral